RNAcentral lists this ribosomal RNA (468 nucleotides) under uncultured bacterium. RNAcentral's name for it is "partial 16S ribosomal RNA". It matches the Rfam family "Bacterial small subunit ribosomal RNA", at positions 28 to 507 of the family's 1533-position model. The record is from RNAcentral.
GACGAACGCUGGCGGCGUGCUUAACACAUGCAAGUCGAACGGUAAGGCCCUGCUUUUGUGGGGCGCUCGAGUAGCGAACGGGUGAGUCACAAGUGAGUUACCUACCCCUGACUUAGGGAUCUCUUCAGGAAACUGUGGCUAAUGCCAGGUGGGAGUUCUGGCUGCUUGGUGGGGGUUGGAACGGUUCGGCGGUUGGGGAUGGACUGGCGGCUUAUCAGCUUGUGGGGGGGGUAGCGGCUUACCAAGGCUUUGGCGGGUAGCCGGCCUGGGAGGGUGACCGGCCACAUUGGGACUGAGAUACGGCCCAGACUCCAACGGGAGGCAGCAGGGGGGAAUAUUGCACAAUGGGCGGAAGCCGAAUGCGGCAACGCCGCGGGCGGGAUGAGGGCCUUCGGGUGGUAACCCGCUUUCGCCUGGGACGAGGCGUUAGUGACGGUAACGGGUAAAGAAGCACCGGCUAACUACGUG